This 227-nucleotide ribosomal RNA is filed under the name uncultured bacterium. RNAcentral's name for it is "partial 16S ribosomal RNA". It matches the Rfam family "Bacterial small subunit ribosomal RNA", at positions 118 to 347 of the family's 1533-position model. The record is from RNAcentral.
UGAGUAACCUGCCCUGGACUUUGGGAUAACCCUCGGAAACGGGGGCUAAUACCGGAUAUGACCUGCUUCCGCAUGGUGGUGGGUGGAAAGUUUUUCGGUCUGGGAUGGGCUCGCGGCCUAUCAGCUUGUUGGUGGGGUGAUGGCCUACCAAGGCGACGACGGGUAGCCGGCCUGAGAGGGCGACCGGCCACACUGGGACUGAGACACGGCCCAGACUCCUACGGGAG